GACGAACGCUGGCGGCGUGCUUAACACAUGCAAGUCGAACGGAAAGGCCCUGCUUUUGUGGGGUGCUCGAGUGGCGAACGGGUGAGUAACACGUGAGUAACCUGCCCUUGACUUUGGGAUAACUUCAGGAAACUGGGGCUAAUACCGGAUAGGAGCUCCUGCUGCAUGGUGGGGGUUGGAAAGUUUCGGCGGUUGGGGAUGGACUCGCGGGUUAUCAGCUUGUUGGUGGGGUAGGGGCUUACCAAGGCUUUGACGGGUAGCCGGCCUGAGAGGGUGACCGGCCACAAUGGGACUGAGAUACGGCCCAGACUCCUACGGGAGGCAGCAGUGGGGAAUAUUACACAAUGGGCGGAAGCCUGAUGCAGCAACGCCGCGUGCGGAAUGACGGCCUUCGGGUUGUAAACCGCUUUCGCCUGUGACGAAGCGUGAGUGACGGUAAUGGGUAAAGAAGCACCGGCUAACUACGUG
RNAcentral lists this ribosomal RNA (468 nucleotides) under uncultured bacterium. Its description in RNAcentral is "partial 16S ribosomal RNA". It matches the Rfam family "Bacterial small subunit ribosomal RNA", at positions 28 to 507 of the family's 1533-position model. The record is from RNAcentral.